This is a long non-coding RNA of Oryzias javanicus (javanese ricefish), 1674 nucleotides long. NCBI's taxonomy places the organism in Eukaryota, Metazoa, Chordata, Actinopteri, Beloniformes, Adrianichthyidae. The record is from Ensembl.
GACAACACUGAGAUCAGGUGUGGCAUCUGUUUCAGACCCGCUCCGGCUUUCGAGGCCCAACACGUCCGCUUUUGGUGAUUUCAGCACUCUGGACAGCGAUGAUCCGAGGAUUCCUCUCGCACUUGAGGCAGUCUGACAGCAAACCAUGAAUGGGACAGUUUGAAGUAUGUUCAAGAAGAUCAACAAUGUAUUCCGUCCCAACCAACAUGGGCACAGGGGCCGGGACGCUGGGGCCAAACAGGACUACCACAGCGCCUGCACGGUCAGACUGGUCCGCAGCACGUCCAUGUUGGUGGUGGGGGAGAAAAGAUACACAGCCGACGGCUCGACUUUAAAGAGGAGCAAAAGUACGAGUCAGAACUGCCUGGAGUACCUGGAGGCGCUGGUGGCUCUGAGGAGGCAGUACACCAAGAGUGUGAGCGACCUCAAGAGCCAAGAGGCCAAAUCCAAUGUUAGUACAAAGAAGAAGCAGGCACCUCCACCACCGCAGAAGGACCCGCCUGAACCAGCAGCCAAACCUUCAACCCCUCUGGUUCCCAACGAGGAGGACACUCUGGAGUUCUUUGAUGCGGUGAUCGCCAGCUGUGACAAGGAACCUCUGCGAAAACCCUACAAGGAUGAUGGACACGCUGAUGUGGAUUUUAUAGUGGCGUCAACCUCGACUGAGCACGACCUUCACUCCAACUGGGUCUUGAAGGUCCCCCGUGUUGCAGAUGGCUCCACACACUCAGUAGUUAAAGACAGUGCCAUUGAAAAAAGCUCAGAAGAAGAAGAAGAACCAGAGCGGCUCUACGAGCAGCAGACUGCGUCUUCAGAGGAACCCGAUCCACCUGCCCAAAGUGGUAGAGAGCGCCUUCCAGACGCUGCGCUUCAAGCCCAAACUAAAAAAGCAGUGAAGCUUGAUGGGUAUUGGAAACAUAAGCCCCACCCACAAUGCUGGAAAAUCUCUUUGCUCAGGAGUUGAUUGAGCAAACUAUUUUUAGAACACUAAAUAUUAAGACUUAAAUAAACAUGUAAAGUAAAAGAUUCAAACAAAUCAAAUUCUCAGUGAGCUUGGAUAUCCGCUUUGUGGCACAAAGACAAUUUUUUACUUCUGUUUUACACCUUUUUUUUUUUGCUGUGGCACCAAAAUGUAAAUAUUUGACCUUAAUUUAACAUUUCCACGCUUGAUUUCAGUCAGAACGUUUGGAUUUUACAAAAGAGGGCUUGACUAGUUUUGAACAUGCUGCACAAAGAAACAUUUUUUCAUGGAGUUUUUCGGAAGCUUCCAUUCAAAAGGCCUUUCGAGCUGAACAAUUUAAGGGCUGUGGCAACUCUGAAAUUCUCCCUGAUUACAGUUAAAAGUUUCCAACCUGAGCGUCUCCUCUCCUUCAAAGUGUCAAUGCCAACUGUAAAACACAAGAAUGGCUCCUUUCAAGCGCUCAGCCCUCCGCACAAAAGGGUUUUAUUCCACAGACGUUCUGCAAAGCAAAAUUCAUGGCUUAACUGAUCUGAACGCUUCAGACUCACAAGCCUCCGUUUGCACCUAUUCUUGUUGAAUUUAAUCAGAGCUGAACUUAAAAGAUUUGCUGCAUUAACCUGCAGACCUCUUCGGCAUCCAGCAAUCAUGUUUAUUUGUGUUUAAACUCUUGUUUUUGAUGUUUAAGAUGCAUUAUAAAAAAGAAAUGACUUUGA